Molecule: ribosomal RNA, 440 nt
Filed under: uncultured bacterium
Lineage: Bacteria
Description: partial 16S ribosomal RNA
Rfam family: Bacterial small subunit ribosomal RNA
Source: RNAcentral
CCUACGGGAGACUGCAGUAGGGAAUAUUGCACAAUGGGGGAAACCCUGAAGCAGCAACGCCGCGUGGAGGAUGAAGGUUUUCGGAUUGUAAACUCCUUUUGUUAGAGAAGAUAAUGACGGUAUCUAACGAAUAAGCACCGGCUAACUCCGUGCCAGCAGCCGCGGUAAUACGGAGGGUGCAAGCGUUACUCGGAAUUACUGGGCGUAAAGAGCGCGCAGGCGGGAUAGCAAGUCAGAUGUGAAAUCCUAGGGCUGAACCAUAGAACUGCAUUUGAAACUGUUAUGCUAGAGUAUGGGAGAGGUAGGUGGAAUUCUUGGUGUAGGGGUGAAAUCCGUAGAGAUCAAGAGGAAUACUCAUGGCGAAGGCGACCUGCUAGAACAUAACUGACGCUGAGGCGCGAAAGCGUGGGGAGCAAACAGGAUUAGAUACCCCUGUAGUC